RNAcentral lists this ribosomal RNA (253 nucleotides) under uncultured bacterium. RNAcentral describes it as "partial 16S ribosomal RNA". It matches the Rfam family "Bacterial small subunit ribosomal RNA", at positions 524 to 776 of the family's 1533-position model. The record is from RNAcentral.
UACAGAGGUCCCAAGCGUUGUUCGGAUUCAUUGGGCGUAAAGGGUGCGUAGGCGGCGGGGUAAGUCAGGUGUGAAAUCCCGGAGCUCAACUCCGGAACUGCACUUGAUACUGCCUUGCUCGAGGACUGGAGAGGAGACUGGAAUUCAUGGUGUAGCAGUGAAAUGCGUAGAGAUCAUGAGGAAGACCAGUGGCGAAGGCGGGUCUCUGGACAGUUCCUGACACUGAGGCACGAAGGCCAGGGGAGCAAACGGG